CCUACGUGGGGCAGCAGUGAGGAAUAUUGGUCAAUGGGCGCGAGCCUGAACCAGCCAAGUAGCGUGAAGGAUGACUGCCCUACGGGUUGUAAACUUCUUUUAUAAAGGAAUAAAGUGAGGCACGUGUGCCUUUUUGUAUGUACUUUAUGAAUAAGGAUCGGCUAACUCCGUGCCAGCAGCCGCGGUAAUACGGAGGGUCCGAGCGUUAUCCGGAUUUAUUGGGUUUAAAGGGAGCGUAGAUGGGUUGGUAAGUCCGCUGUGAAAGUUUGCGGCGCAACCGUCAAAUUGUCAUUGAUACUGGCAGUCUUGAGUACAGUUGAGGUAGGCGGAAUUCGUGGUGUAGCGGUGAAAUGCGUAGAUAUCACGAAGAACUCCGAUUGCGAAGGCAGCUUACUAAACUGCCACUGACAUUGAUGCUCGAAAGUGUGGGUAUCAAACAGGAUUAGAUACCCUGGUAGUC
Molecule: ribosomal RNA, 460 nt
Filed under: uncultured bacterium
Lineage: Bacteria
Description: partial 16S ribosomal RNA
Rfam family: Bacterial small subunit ribosomal RNA
Source: RNAcentral